CCUACGGGAGGCAGCAGUGGGGAAUAUUGCACAAUGGGGGAAACCCUGAUGUAGCGACGCCGCAUGAGUGAAGAAGUAUUUCGGUAUGUAAAGCUCUGUCAGCAGGGAAGAAAAUGACGGUACCUGACCAAGAAGCCCCGGCUAACUACGUGCCAGCAGCCGCGGUAAUACGUAGGGUGCCAGCGUUAUCCGGAUUUACUGGGUGUAAAGGGAGCGUAGACGGCAGGGCAAGUCUGGAGUGAAAGGCGGGGGCUCAACCCUCGGACUGCUCUGGAAACUGCCAGGCUGGAGUGCAGGAGAGGUAAGUGGAAUUCGUGGUGUAGCGGUGAAAUGCGUAGAUAUUAGGAGGAACACCAGUGGCGAAGGCGGCUUACUGGACUGUAACUGACGUUGAGGCUCGAAAGCGUGGGGAGCAAACAGGAUUAGAUACCCGGGUAGUC
This 440-nucleotide ribosomal RNA is filed under the name uncultured bacterium. Its description in RNAcentral is "partial 16S ribosomal RNA". It matches the Rfam family "Bacterial small subunit ribosomal RNA", at positions 338 to 795 of the family's 1533-position model. The record is from RNAcentral.